CAAUAGGGAGCCACUGGAGUUCAACAGCAGGGAGUGGCCAAUCAAACCUGCAUUUUAGGGAAAUCAUUUGGUGGAUGGAUGGAGGAUGGGGUGGAGGGGAGAGAGAUGAGGAGGGCAGUAAUUAAGGUGGGAGGUGAUGAGGACCUGCAUCAGGGUAGUUACAGGGUCAGAGGAGAGAAGGGGAUGUAUACCUGUGUCAACAUAGAAUCUAGGAACCCCAAACUUGUGGCCUACUGGGAUCUGGUGAACCCCAAGUUUCAGGACAAGCUUAUAGGUUGGAGACCCCAAAGCUUGUCCUUGUUCCCUUUUCCCAUAGGAAUCUACCCUGAAGGGAAUCCCAGGCUGGCAAGCCCAAGCCAAAAGUGACUCUUCUCCAGAAGUCUUUCCCAGUAAAUCACAUCCUCCUUCCAAGGAUCCAACUCGGGACCUUCAGCUUGUGAGACUGAUGUGCUGCCUAUAGCACCGAAGAGUCACUUGAAGGGAGGGGAGGGGAGACUAGUAGGAAAGAAAAUACCAGAUUUGAUGCAUGUUGAGUUUCAGAUGUCUGUGGACCAUCCAGGGUGAGAUGCCUGACAGGCAGCUGGAUGUGGAGAGAGGAGAGCAGGAAAAGCUUCCUCAGCUGCAUUGGAUGACCGGGUUGUGCUUUGUGCUCCAACACGCCCUAAGCACUCCACAGUGCUCCGCUGCGUUGCCCUCUCAGCCAUUGAACCUUCUUAUUGGUUUCUUCCAUCUGUUCCGCCGAAGCAGUCUUCACAUGCUGGGUGAGCAAAGCCCUGGUUCACCAGGGGUCGAUGACCCGAUGGCUACCCACACAAGUUUUGGCCAACCUGUCGAAACCGUUGCCCGGGGUGUGGCCGCUGCCACAUGCUAGCAGCUACUGGGAGCCACAAGUGAGAGCUGGGUGUCAGGUGGGGGUCAGAGGCUGGAGAGCUGCCCUAGGAGGGCAUGACAAGCCCUCCAUACCAGAGAUACUACCCCUCCCUGAGCACCCCAUACACCCCAAAGUAAGCGCCCAAAGUGGGGCUCAAACCCACGACCCUGAGAUUAAGAGUCUCAUGCUCUACCGACUGAGCUAGCCAGGAAGCAAAACAGUGGCAUCUCAUUGACUACAUCACUGUAUGCUGGCGAGACAUCCAGGAUAUAAAGAUCACCAGAGCCAUGAGAGGAGCUGAAUGCUGGGCAGACCACCAAUUGGUUAGAGCGACUCUUCAAAUGUGCAUUGCGCCUCACCAUCCAAAACCUGCCCAGUUUGCGCAUUUUACAACGUGAGUCAUCUUAGAGAUCCAUCUUAUUUGCAAACAUUCCAGUCCUGCCUGGACAACAAGCUGUCUGCCAAGGGACCACUCACUGGAAGCUCAACCGAGAAAUGGAACCAGUUCAGAGACGCAGUGAAGGAAACAUCAAAGGCAGUCCUAGGCCUAAAACAAUGCAACCACCAGGACUGGUUUGAGGAGAACAACAC
Molecule: transfer RNA, 1462 nt
Filed under: Monodelphis domestica (gray short-tailed opossum)
Lineage: Eukaryota; Metazoa; Chordata; Mammalia; Didelphimorphia; Didelphidae
Description: lncRNA (ENSMODG00000050539.1)
Source: RNAcentral